This 200-nucleotide ribosomal RNA is filed under the name uncultured bacterium. RNAcentral's name for it is "partial 16S ribosomal RNA". It matches the Rfam family "Bacterial small subunit ribosomal RNA", at positions 8 to 205 of the family's 1533-position model. The record is from RNAcentral.
AGAGUUUGAUCCUGGCUCAGAACGAACGCUGGCGGCGUGCCUAACACAUGCAAGUCGAACGGGGAUGGGGAGCUUGCUUCCUAUUCUAGUGGCGCACGGGUGAGUAACGCGUAGAUAAUCUGCCUGAUGAUCUGGGAUAACACUUCGAAAGAGGUGCUAAUACCGGAUAAGCCCACGGGGUCUUUGGAUCUUGCGGAAAA